GCAGUGGGCCAGACGAUCGCCGCGCCGUAAGGCGGGGAGGAAAGUCCGAACUCCGCAGGGCAGUGCGCCGGGUAACGCCCGGUCGGGGCAACUCGAAGGACAGUGGCACAGAAAACAUACCGCUAACCGGGCAACCGGCAGCAAGGGUGAAAAGGUGCGGU
RNAcentral lists this RNase P RNA (161 nucleotides) under Acidobacteriota bacterium. Its description in RNAcentral is "Acidobacteria bacterium (soil metagenome) partial RNase P RNA component class A". It matches the Rfam family "Bacterial RNase P class A", at positions 1 to 168 of the family's 367-position model. Rfam says of the family: Ribonuclease P (RNase P) is a ubiquitous endoribonuclease, found in archaea, bacteria and eukarya as well as chloroplasts and mitochondria. Its best characterised activity is the generation of mature 5'-ends of tRNAs by cleaving the 5'-leader elements of precursor-tRNAs. Lineage: Bacteria; Pseudomonadati; Acidobacteriota. The record is from RNAcentral.